GGCCCCGUAGCUCAGUGGAUAGAGCAUUGGUUUCCUAAACCAAGUGUCGGCCGUUCGAGUCGGCCCGGGGUCGCCA
RNAcentral lists this transfer RNA (76 nucleotides) under Chloroflexota bacterium. RNAcentral describes it as "Chloroflexi bacterium tRNA-Arg". It matches the Rfam family "tRNA". From Rfam's summary of the family: Transfer RNA (tRNA) molecules are approximately 80 nucleotides in length. The record is from RNAcentral. Lineage: Bacteria; Bacillati; Chloroflexota.